CCCUUAGAUGUCCGGGGCUACACGCGCGCUACACUGACUGGCUCAGCGUGUGCCUACCCUACGCCGGCAGGCGCGGGUAACCCGUUGAACCCCAUUCGUGAUGGGGAUCGGGGAUUGCAAUUAUUCCCCAUGAACGAGGAAUUCCCAGUAAGUGCGGGUCAUAAGCUUGCGUUGAUUAAGUCCCUGCCCUUUGUACACACCGCCCGUCGCUACUACCGAUUGGAUGGUUUAGUGAGGCCCUCGGAUCGGCCCCGCCGGGGUCGGCCCACGGCCCUGGCGGAGCGCUGAGAAGACGGUCGAACUUGACUAUCUAGAGGAAGUAAAAGUCGUAACA
Molecule: ribosomal RNA, 334 nt
Filed under: uncultured eukaryote
Lineage: Eukaryota
Description: partial 18S ribosomal RNA
Rfam family: Eukaryotic small subunit ribosomal RNA
Source: RNAcentral